AUACAAUUUACACUUAAAGUACACUCAAAUAGAUGUUAAGUUGAAGUUAAUACAUAAUUGAGUACACUUAACUAUACUUGGAUUUGACGAACAUAGUACAAAAUAUAGAAAAUAUACUUAGUACACUUUUUUAAAGUAUAUUUUUAAUAGAUUUUUUUUUCACCUAGGUCAUUUUUGUCUUUAAAGUGUUUGAAUUUAAAUCACACACAGUAAAACAUUAAGAGUAUACGCGGUAACUUACACAACAGUAAACACGAGGGUUAACAAUACGCGAAGUAAACGUUACAUGCAUAACGGGCUGUUAAAAGAAUUAAUUCGAUGUUUACAUUUUUUAAAACAAAACUUUAAAGAAGCCAAGAUGAGAUGUGAUUUGCUUAAAAGCAAAACACCAGUAACUCAUGUGUUGUAAAUGUAAGCAGCUAGAAAGUGUUUCUCUGCUAUUUUAAAUUAUAUCUUCUGUUGUUUAAAACUAAAAGCUCAUUGCUUUAGUUCUGGUAGAUGCUGCUUAUUUUGCAAGCCGGUUUUUGAUUUGUAACAAAGCCAGCUUCACUUUGACAUAACCUAUAUGCUAUUGUAAAGAAGCUUGGAGUCAUAAUAUAUUUUAACUAAUUAGUAGUUAAAUAGUAAAUAGAUGUGUUAUGAUGUAUGUGAUUUGAUUUUUAAUUCUGUGUUUGCCAGAGAAAUAUAAUGAUGUACAGUGAAAGCUAAAACAUCAGACUGAUCCAAACACUGAAGAAAUUGGUCUGACUGCAAUCUGGCCAAAAUGAUGAAAUAUAAUGACUUAACAGUGAAAGCUAAAACAUCAGACUGAUCCACACACUGAAGAAAUUGGUGUGACUGCAAUCUGGCCAAAAUGAUACAACUAUAAUGAAGUAACCUACUAUUAUAGAGCUGCAGAACGACACAGAGACUCUGAGGACAUCAACACAGAAAAUGAAGGCUCCAAAGAGAUGUCUGUCCAGAUGAGGGUGCAUCAACGUUACCUUUGCUGACAAGUAUAUGCUUUACAAUGUAAAACCUAACAGUUACUUAACUCAAACCAUUUAAGGAAACUGGUUGCCUUAAACCAUUUAAGUUUUAAAACACAUACAUUUGAGUACUGUGAACUUGAGUCAUAUGCAAUUAUGCACUUAUAUUCAAGUAGUGUGAACUGCAUAUCUGCAUAUGACUCAAUUUGUUUCACAGUACUCAAAUGUAUGAGGCUGUUUACACUUGGCAUUAACAUGCAUUUUCAUUGAUCGGAUCACAAGUGGACGACAUUAAUGCCAGGUGUAAACGGUGUUCAAAACGCUUUGAGCUCGUCCACUUUCAACCACAUUCAGAGGUAGUCGAAACCCCUUUCGAUCGGAUUGCUUUUGUAGUGUAAACGCACAUGUGGUUGAAUGUGUUUGCGUCGCGCUGCUCUUUUUAAAAAAGGCAGUGCGUCGCGCCUUGCGUUUCCAAGCGUUUAAAACGCGUUUGGUGUGAUUAGCACCUUAGUUCGCCCAAAAAUGAAAAUGAUGUCAUUAAUGACUCACCCUCAUGUCGUUCCAAACUUGUAAGACCUCCGUUCAUCUUCGGAACACAGUUUAAGAUGUUUUAUAUUUAGUCCGAGAGCUUGCUGACCCUUCAUUGAAAAUCUAUGUACGGUUUACUAUCAAUGUCCAGAAAGGUAAUAAAAACAUCAUCAAAGUAGUCCAUGCAACAUCAGUGGGUCAGUUAGAAUGUGUGACUUUAUUCAGCAUUGUCUUCUCUUCCGGUUCUGUUGUGACUGCAGUGACAUGGCUGACGUGUUAUCCUCAGACAUGUUUGCAAAGUGGGUUUUUUUUUCAAACUUACAGCGUGCGUUUCCCUCGGACUGUAAAUGAAGCUUACGGUACACACAAAAAGCUGAGGGUGAGUCAUUAUUUUCAUUUUUGGGUGAACUAUCCCUUUAAAUCUAAAGUAUUUAUGUACGUGAGUAACGCGACUCUGCACAUCUUUAAAUGAUUUUGUGGAGUUCAGUGAUCCCCAUUAGCGUUCGUUGCUACUCGGGUUUGAGUACUGUGAACUUGAGUCAUAUGCAAUUAUGCACUUAUAUUCAAGUAGUGUGAACUGCAUAUCUGCAUAUGACUCAAUUUGUUUCACAGUACUCAAAUGUAUGAGGCUGUUAACACUUGGCAUUAACAUGCAUUUUCAUUGAUCGGAUCACAAGUGGACGACAUUAAUGCCAGGUGUAAACGGUGUUCAAAACGCUUUGAGCUCGUCCACUUUCAACCACAUUCAGAGAUAGUCGAAACCCCUUUCGAUCGGAUUGCUUUUGUAGUGUAAACGCACAUGUGGUUGAAUGUGUUCGAACAGCCACACGUGACCGCCUUUUCUUCGCCCCCAUUUAUCUAAUCUGAGGUACUAAACACAAGUAUUACGUCUUUUCUGACUUCUGGCGUGAACAGCGCUAUUUUUGGCCUUUCAAUGAUAAAACUAAAGCUGCUGGUCUCUGUAGUUUCGUUUUGAAAGCGUGUGAAAGUGAUACUAUUACAUCAAUUGCGCUGAAAAUUCAGAUAAAUUUAUAACAUAUAAACAUACAAAACACAUUGCAGCAUGUUUACUUGCAGUGCUAAACCAGCAGUGUACUCCGACAUAAUUAGUUUGCGUCCAUAUAACUCAUAAUUACUCCCGCUCGCAUUUGAAUGACAGCAGAGGGAUUCGCCCACCGUCUCACAGACCACCGUCUCACAGUAUUCAGGACAGAAGCGGUCGAAUGUGGACAGAAGAGAUGAAUUUAAAUACCAGGUGUAAACGUGAUGUGUCUCUCUCGUCCACUUGUGAUCCAAUCGAUGAAAACACAUCUUAAUACCAAGUGUAAACAGUCCCUAUGUGUUUUAAAACUGAAAUGGUUUAAUACAGUGUUUCCCAAUCCUGGUCCUCGAGGCCCCCCUCCCUUAUUCAACACACCUGAUUUACCUCAUCAGCUUGUUAGGGAGACAUGUUUACCAAUUUGAAAGGAGGCGGAUAAGUUAAAUUAGGUGUUUUAAAUAAAUAAGGAGACAUCUAAAACUGUCUGGGAGGGGGGCUUCGAGGACCAGGAUUGGGAAGCACUAGUUUAAUGCAAACGGUUUCCUUAAAUGGUUUGAGUUGAGUUAACUUUUAGGUUGUACAGUGAGAAAUGUUUGAAUAAUUCCAAGACAGAGCUCUGCAAUUGAAUCUACACUGCAAAAAAUCACUUUCUAACUUAGUAUUUUCAUCUUGUUUUCAGUAGAAAAACUAAAAAUUCUUAAAUCAAGAUGUAGUUUCUUGAUGAGCAAAAUUACAUAAGUAAAAUGUCUAGUUUUAAGACAAAAAUUUACAAUUUAAGUAGAUUUAUGCCUAAAACAAACAAAAAUAUCUGACAAUGGGGUCAGAAAAUUUAGCUUGAAUUAAGUUUUUAAGAAAAAAGAAAAACUUAUUUUAUGAUUUCUUUUUUCACACCAUUGGCAGAUAUUUUUGCUUGUUUUAAGCAUUCAAAUUCACAAAUGUAUUAUUAUUAUUUUUUUUAUAAAAAACUAGACUUAUUUUCUUAAUUUCUGUUAAUCAAGGAAAAGCAUUUUAAUCUAAAUAAUAUUUCUAUUAAAAACAAGACAAAAAUACUAAGUAAGAGUCAUUUGUUGCAGUGUAGGACUGAUUUCUUAAAGCAAGAUCAAUAUUUGUUGUUCAUUUUAUUUAGAUCAUUUACUACAUUACAGUGGCGGCUGUGGACUUCUUUUAUUUUGUGAGCAAUCGAUGUGAAGUUCGUCACAACAUGUGUAUAUAGCCCGUCACUUGUGUGGUUCACAAUUUCAAAAUAUGUGUUCUGUGUGUCGAGUGCGUGUAUGUGCAUCACCUGUUUUGACUAAACACGUGAUGCACAUGGUUUACAUGAAGCAACAAACACAUUUUAAAAACACAAGCAACACACAACACUCCGAACACUUAUUUUGAAUUUGCACCCCUCGGAUGAGCAGUCAUGAGCCGCCACUGCUACAUUACAUUGUACUGCUUUGAAUGUAGAUUUCAUUGUUGCUUUUAUUUUGUUAUAUUUUACUCUAAUAUUGCUUUCUCUGUCUGUAUAUUUGAGUUAAAUAGUAUUGUUUAUGUAUGCAACUUUUAAUAUUUGUGUAUAAUAUUAUUUUGUGAUUGUGACAGUUCAGUUUUUUAUUAAAUAAACAUUUCAAACUCAAUUCAAGUUUAUUUUUUAAGGGUUUUGGGGGUUGUAUAGUAGUAUAUAGUGGGGGGGGGGUGUAGUCUAUCUGCAUAGCAGGCAAAUAACCAAUCAAGUCACUACGCUAUGAGGGCUUGGGUUGGGCUUAAUACAAAGUGUAACCAAUGAAAUCAUCUCAACUGGAAAGUUUCAAAUUAGUGUCCCAAGAGUUUUGGGAGGGGUUUUUAAAAGCAACCAAUCAGUGUUGAGAUUAAACACCAAUGGGGAGACUAGGAUUGUGCAAAGGUGUGAAAUUCCAGUACCUCUGUAGGUGUGAAAGUGGCCCCUGACAAAAUCUUCAAUGGGAUUACUUGCCAUGGCAACAAACGGCUACAUAUACCACGGGGAUAUCCCCUCAGCAAGAUACAUCCGAAUUGGUAUCAUUACAGGAGUUUCCUAACUUGGUGGAAUUAGAAGUUUACCCUCAGUGGAACUAGUAGAUACUUCCGAAAAUCAGUGGUGUUUACAGAAGUUUCCAAGUACGGAUACACCUCUUUUCAUGCAGUGUUACCCUGAGUGGAACUAGUAGAUACUUCCGAAAAUCAGUGGUGUAUACAGGAGUUUCCACCUCUUUUAAUGUGAGAUACAGGCCAGUGGCCAAACAAAUCUAAGCCCACAUGUGGGCAAAUCUGCCAUCUUUUGAGUCUCGCAGCCCCUCCUGAG
Misgurnus anguillicaudatus (oriental weatherfish) is the source of this 4837-nucleotide non-coding RNA. The record is from RefSeq and is a predicted model, not a curated record. Lineage: Eukaryota; Metazoa; Chordata; Actinopteri; Cypriniformes; Cobitidae.